AUCAGCUGACCCCAGCCAGAAACGAGGCAAGAAUCCCCAGCGGUCGGGCACUGGGAGGCGAUGCUGAUGUUCUGGAUGGCAUCCGACCUGGGCACUGACUCUUUCAACUUGAUGAGCAUGAGGUCGUUGGCGAUAAAAGACACAUCCUGCGUGGAGAAGAAUGACCGUAGGGUGAGAAGGGAGCAGACACCGACACGAAGGCGGAAGGUGACAGCAGCCCAGGUGGGCGAUGCUGUGGUCCAGGGAGAAGAGGAAUGAAUGGGCGCAGGGCUCAUCCCGGAGUUCAGAAGGCCAGAAGUCCAAAGGCAGUCUCACUGGACUGGUUCCUUCUGGAGGCUCUAAGGGUGACUCCAUUUCCUUGUCUUUUCAGCUUCUGGAGGCACCUGCAUUCCUUAGCCCGUCUUGCCUCUUGCCUCUCUCUUGUAAGAACCUUUGUGGUUUCAUUGUGCCCAGCAGCAUAACCCGGGGUAACCGCCCCAUCUCGAGAUCUUUAAUCAGACCCGCAAAGUCCCCAAGUAAGAUCGCAUAUUCAUAGGACACCCUUGUGAUGGGGAUUAUUUUGUCUGCCGCAAAAUCACAUGAUGCGUUAAUGUUUCACCUGUUCAUGGUGUCUGUCUCCUCCACUGGAACACAAGCUCUUCCAUGAGGAUAAAACAUCCCUGCCAAGGUCACCAUUGUAUCCCCAGGGCCAAGAACAAUGCCUGGCGCGUGGUAGGUUGUUAGUAAAGAUUCGCUGAGUGAACAAAUGCCCUCGAGGAGGGAAGAAUUAACGCCCUUACCAACAAAUUGAUUUACAGUCACAGAAACAAUUUCCCAGCUGAUUGCACACUGAUGAAGAGACAGCCUCUCAAGGUUCAAAUCUCAGGUCUGCCAUUCACUAGGUCACUGACCGUGAGCAAGUUACCAAGCCUCUCUGUGCCUCUGUUUCUCAUCUGUGAAAUGGGAAUAAAUAUAUUACUUGUCUCAUGGAAUAUUGAGAAUAUUCACUUAGUUAAUACCUGUGAAGCAGUUGGUGCGGAGUCUGGUGCACAUGGGAAGUACUUUGUAAGAAUUCACUUUUGUUAUUAAUAUUAAUAUUACUUUGCAAACACCUGAAACAGUGUUUCACGAGAUGUGAUGCUAACCUAACGUGAGACUCAGAUUUCAAUUCUUUUGACUCAAUAGCCAGAAGUGGGAUUCCUGAUCAUAUAGUAAUUCUACUUUUAAUUUUUUGAGAAACCCCCACACUGUUUUCCACAGUGGUAGCACCAUUUUGUACACCCGCCAACAGUGAACAAGGAUUCCAAUAUCUCCAUAGUCUCACCAAUGCUCCUUACUUAUCUCUGUUGUCGUUGUUGGGUUUUUUGCUGUUGUGGGUUUAAAAUUUUUUUUUUAAUUUUUAUUAAAUUUUUUUUAACAUUUAUUUAUUUUUUGAGAGACAGAGAGAGACAGAGCAUGAACAGGGGAGGGGCAGAGAGAGAAGGAGACACAGAAUCCAAAACAGGCUCCAGGCUCUGAGCUGUCGGCACAGAGCCCGACGCGGGGCUCGAACUCACAAAUCGGGAGAUCAUGACCUGAGCCAAACUCGGACACUUAACUGACUGAGCCAUCCAGGCGCCCCUUGGAUUUUUUUUUUUAAUUGCCAUCCUAACAGGUGCAAGGUGAUACUUCCUCGUGGUUUCGAUCUCCGUUUCCCUGGUGAUGAGUGGCAUCAUUGUUUCAUAUGCCUGGUGGUCAUUUCUGUGUCAUAUUUGGAGAAAUGUCUGUUCGAGUCCUUCACUCAUUUUUAAAUCCAGUUAUCUGGUUUUAUAGGUUUUUUUGUUUGUUUGUUUGUUUUGCUAUUGAAUUGAAGGAGUUCCUUAUAUAGUUUGGAUAUUAACCCCUUGUUGGUUAUAUGGUCUGCAAGUAUUUUCUCAAACUCCAUAGGCCACCUGUCACUGAUGAUGGUUCCCUUUGCUGAACAGACACUUUUUAGUUGAUGUGAUUCCAUUUGUCUAUUUUUGGCUUAUGUUGCCUGUGAUUUUGGUGUCGUAUUCAAGAAAUCAUUGCCAAGACAACCCCCCCCUAUUUUCUUCCAGGAGUCGGACAGUGUUGGCUCUUCUGUUUAUAUCUCUAAUCCAUUUUCAAAAAAUUUAAAAAAAAUGUUUAUUUACUUUUGGGAGGUGGGGGAGAAGGACAGAGAGAGAGAGAGGGAGACACAGAAACCAAAGCAGGCUCCAGGCUCCGAGCAGUAAGCACAGAGCCCAACGUGGGGCUCGAACUCACAAGCAGUGAGAUCAUGACCUGAGCCGAAGUUGGACGCUUAAGUGACUGAGCCUCCCAGGCGCCCUCUUUAAUCCGUUUUGAGUUGAUUUUUGUGUAGGGUGUAAGACAGGGAUCCAGUCUCAUUUUUUUGCAUGUGGAUGUCCAGUUUUCCCCACGCCAUUUGUGGGAGAGGCUGUCCUUUUCCCAUUCUGUAUUCUUGGCACCCUUGUCUAAGAUCAGUUGACCACAUAUGUGUGGGUUUAUUCCGGGCUCUCUAUUCUGGGCAUUUUUUUUUUUUUUCAGUUGGCCGCCAACAUUGACAGAUCAGGAAAUUUCAAGCUUCUCUUGGAAAGUCAAUAUCGUGUCUGCAUUCCCACGGUCAUGAUCCACCAGCAGCAGGUUCUGAGUGGCCACUGUCCUGGGGACAGCUUGCCCGUUUUCUGGCCCACACCCGGCGGUUUCCUUCAUUUUCGUUACCUGCCUGGCCCCAGGAAGCAGCAGAGUUCGUGACCCCAGUGGAGGAAAAAAGUGGACAAAAAUACAGAAAGACUCAGGCACAAAGAGACAAGAGAUAAAGUAAAGCAGAAAAAAAACAACAAUAAUCGUCAUACGCUGUCAUAGAGCACCUACAUAUAAACUUACAUAUAGGCUAUACAAGUAGUAUUUAUUUUGUUCCGGGCACUGCUCCAGGUUCUUUACAAACGUUAACUGGCUCAAUCUCCUCAAUAUCCUAUGAAAUCGGAUCUAUUAUCCCCCCCUCCCCCCACUGUACAGAUGAAAAAUGAGGCACGGAGAAGCUAAGAGCUGUUUACCUGUGGACCAAGUUGAUUACAUGGUAGAACUGAGGUCUGAACCCUCAUCUCCACAUCACCCACCCUGUGUGAGCCUAACCACUAGGCAACACUGCCCCCUUGUGGAUUUGGAGGCACGCAGGGAAAGAAUAAGAGGUUGAAGGGGUGAGGCACAAAGGAGGGAUUCCCAAGUUCUCCUGGGUGGGGGACUGUGGGUCUCAGCACCCAGUUCUGGUGCUAGAUGGGGACAGAGGUGCAAGCAAACUCCUUGCAGACAGGGGGAGGGAGCCACCUGAACCUUGCCCUUGGCGAGCUCAAGUCCUGAUCUUGAUUGAUCUUGGGUCUCUCAGGUUCUACAGGGAAAGGCAGGGAGUGUGGCUUGUGGGGUCAGACCCGCUCCGGUGAGACCCUGGGCAAGAGACUAAGUAUUUCUUUUUUUUUUUUUUUAACGUUUAUUUAUUUUUGAGACAGAGAGAGACAGAGCAUGAACAGGGGAGGGGCAGAGAGAGAGAGGGAGACACAGAAUCAGAAGCAGGCUCCAGGCUCUGAGCCAUCAGCCCAGAGCCCGACGCAGGGCUCGAACUCACGGACCGUGAGAUCGGGACCUGAGCUGAAGUCGACGCUUAACCGACUGAGCUACCCAGGCGCCCCAAGACUAAGUAUUUCUACCUCAGAGCUCAGCCACUGUUAUUUCCAAGUAUUGCUACCAAUGUAGCAAUGAUUUAAUAAGUUGGGGAAAUUACCAUCAUGUCUGUUUAUUCGUGAGUCGUGGUGACCCUGGUUGUCUUCCAGAACUAUCUCCUCUGUGCACCCAGAUACCCACCUAAGAUCAUGAUAAUAAUAACAAUAGUAAUAAUAUAAUAAAUAGCUCACAUGCCUCGAGCAAUUAUAGUCAGUUUUACUUGUGUCGUUGUAAUUAAUCUAGUGGGAUAAAAUCACGAACCUGUCUUUUUAACAAAACUACAGGGACACCUGGGUGGCUCAGUCAGUUAAGUGUUCAACUCUUGAUCUCCGUUUAGGUUAUGAUCUCAUGGUUUUGUGGGUUCGAUCCCCAUGUAGGGCUGUGCCCUGACAGCACAGAGCCUGCUUGGGAUUCUCUCUCCCCGUCUCUCUCUGCCCCUCCCACACUCUCACUAUCUCUCUCUCUCUCUC
This is a long non-coding RNA of Acinonyx jubatus (cheetah), 4166 nucleotides long. RefSeq lists it as uncharacterized. The transcript has 3 exons. NCBI's taxonomy places the organism in Eukaryota, Metazoa, Chordata, Mammalia, Carnivora, Felidae. The record is from RefSeq and is a predicted model, not a curated record.